UAGAGUUUGAUCAUGGCUCAGAUUGAACGCUGGCGGCAUGCUUUACACAUGCAAGUCGAACGGAGUUAAGGGGCUUGCUCCUUAAUUUAGUGGCGAACGGGUGAGUAAUAUAUCGGAACGUACCCGGCAAUGGGGGAUAACGUAGCGAAAGUUACGCUAAUACCGCAUAUGCCCUGAGGGGGAAAGCAGGGGACCAGCAAUGGCCUUGCGUUGUCGGAGCGGCCGAUAUCGGAUUAGCUAGUUGGUGGGGUAAAGGCCUACCAAGGCGACGAUCCGUAGCGGGUCUGAGAGGAUGAUCCGCCACACUGGGACUGAGACACGGCCCAGACUCCUACGGGAGGCAGCAGUGGGGAAUUUUGGACAAUGGGCGCAAGCCUGAUCCAGCCAUGCCGCGUGAGUGAAGAAGGCCUUCGGGUUGUAAAGCUCUUUCAGCCGGAAAGAAAACGCACUUUUUAAUACGGAGUGUGGAUGACGGUACCGGAAGAAGAAGCACCGGCUAACUACGUGCCAGCA
Molecule: ribosomal RNA, 513 nt
Filed under: uncultured bacterium
Lineage: Bacteria
Description: bacterial SSU rRNA
Rfam family: Bacterial small subunit ribosomal RNA
Source: RNAcentral